CUGGGAGUCCAGCAGGCCUCGGGUCCUUCUCCUGCCUGAGCAAUGUGGCCGGAGCCCCCUGCACUCUAAGGUCAGGGAAGACUUAAAUCCAUCUAGCAGCCCGGCCUGCCUUUCCACUAGGCAUGUGGAAAUGCUUCCUGUCUAUGACUGCGUCUUGUGAACCUGCAAUUCAGACAGUUACCUGGUUCUCUCUUGCCGUGGCUCAAUGGCCAGGCCCAAUUUGGCCCCAGCUGCUCUGAGUAGAAGAGGAAGAAGCCUGCCGUAGUAUGGAAGCUUGUCUGAGCUAUAGGCCCAGGAAAUGACCCAGUC
Nycticebus coucang (slow loris) is the source of this 309-nucleotide long non-coding RNA. RefSeq lists it as uncharacterized. The record is from RefSeq and is a predicted model, not a curated record. The transcript is spliced from 3 exons. NCBI's taxonomy places the organism in Eukaryota, Metazoa, Chordata, Mammalia, Primates, Lorisidae.